This is a long non-coding RNA of Cryptotermes secundus, 1634 nucleotides long. RefSeq lists it as uncharacterized. Lineage: Eukaryota; Metazoa; Arthropoda; Insecta; Blattodea; Kalotermitidae. The record is from RefSeq and is a predicted model, not a curated record. The transcript has 4 exons.
AAAACCCGAUGGCGAUAUAUAACUCUUGAACUUGACCCAUCAACUUAUUUGCAUGAUGUCUGUGAUUAAUGUAUUAAAAAUGUUCUAAUAAACAGUGAAAUUUGUAGGUGUGAAGUUUCUCUGGUUAAGUCCCAAAUUCCUGUUUCCUGUGAUAUGUUUAGGUUACUAUCAGUUACAAUUACAAAGUGAACAAUUGAAAUUAACAUUUAUCAAAAACGAAACGCAGGUGAAUAUCAAAGGUAUACGGCACAGGCACGAUGUCUUGGCUAUUAAUGGCAAAUUUCCUUGCUGGAAAAAUGGUAACUGAACGAAGGCAAAAUUUUAGUUUUCUUUACUAACAUUUAUUACAGUGAAACUCCCAUGAAGUAAAUCCUUAAAGCAAGGAAUGGUAAAAGGGGGUUUCCACUAUAUAUAUGUAUUGAGUUUGUAAGGUGUGACAGUCAUUUGUUUACGGAUCCUUGGAAAGGCAUAAGUGAUGAAGGAUGUAGUAAUUGAACAGAGGCCCAGCUACCUGGCACAUUCUCCCCAAUGCACAUCAUCCGUGAGGAGUUUAUAUUUAGUGUUGUCUUUGGUAAUCCACAAAUUUCCUUCCCACCAGAAAGUUUGACCUUCAAAUAUUCCAGAAUUAAUGUGGUUGGAAACUGGUGGUGCUGUUGAGAUUGGUGUCCAAUUUGCUGCCAUACAUAUGCUGGAAAUGCAACUAAGAUAGUGAGCUUCCUAGCAUCUGUAAAGAUAUAAAUGUGCUUGGAGUGAGGAAUGUUCUGGAAGUCAGACCCUCUGCACACAUCACAAGUAGAUGUGAGGUUCUCACAGCAGCAACUGUAAGGAUUACUGCCUCCAGGAUUGUGGCACCAUGUAGUGCAGGGCCUGAAAGUGGACGCAGCAGGUUCAACUGCAUUGCAUCACAUCCAAGAAGAGUGUAGUCUUCAUUACAAGGAGUUCCUGCAUCAGUCCUCACUUUUUGUUGGUACAGAGGAUGUGAACACAUCAUGGACAACCCACAUCAAUUGUGGCCUAAUAUGUUGCACAGAAACAUGGUUGGGGAGAACACAAGGAAGCUUAUGGAUAGCUUUGCACUGGAGAGGUCAUGUGUGGGUCAUGAAAGAAUUUUAAUUUCUCAUGAGAUAAUGCACAAUACAGUCUUCAACAUUUUCCUGUGCUCCUUGCCAGAUAUUACUCUCCCUUCCAUUCUUUGCUGCUCAAAUACAAGAAAAUCAACAUGUCACAAUAUUUAUAGCCACAUCCUUUUCUUAAACAUGCAUCAUACAUCAGUCUUACAUUUCACAACACUAUUAUUGAAUUUACAUACACAGCUUUAUAAUUUGGGCCAUAAAACAAGAUUCACUUUUACAUUUUAAAGUCAUGAAGUGUGUAAACAAUAUAGGAAUUUCAGAAAAUGUGAUGCAGCAAGGAAGGAAAGAGGACAGGAGAUUACAACAGAUGCUGGAAAAUGUUGACAUUACACAUGGGCACUAUCUUGUAGAAAAUGAAAAUUUCCUGGCACCUCACACAUAUUUUCUCCAGUACAAGAACUCCGAUACCUAUCGUCAUCCUCCCUGCAAAGCAAAAAUAGAAAACCUGGCAGUAGUUUCCAUUAUCCUACAUGAAAUAAAGUACAGGAUGAAACAACUCCA